Molecule: small RNA, 87 nt
Filed under: Eubacterium sp. CAG:156
Lineage: Bacteria; Bacillati; Bacillota; Clostridia; Eubacteriales; Eubacteriaceae
Description: GA-cis RNA
Rfam family: GA-cis RNA
Source: Rfam by way of RNAcentral
UUAAGAUGGAAACUAAAUUAAUGAAGUUUAUAUUUAAUAAUGUUUCCAAUAACUAGUCGCCGACUAGAUAGAGAGGCAAUACAUGUU